RNAcentral lists this transfer RNA (75 nucleotides) under Candidatus Omnitrophica bacterium CG11_big_fil_rev_8_21_14_0_20_41_12. Its description in RNAcentral is "tRNA-Arg". It matches the Rfam family "tRNA". Rfam says of the family: Transfer RNA (tRNA) molecules are approximately 80 nucleotides in length. Their secondary structure includes four short double-helical elements and three loops (D, anti-codon, and T loops). The record is from RNAcentral. Lineage: Bacteria; Pseudomonadati; Candidatus Omnitrophota.
GCGCCUGUAGCUCAUUUUGGAUAGAGCGAGGCUCUCCUAAGGCCUAGGUGGGUGGUUCGAAUCCACCCAGGCGCA